This 642-nucleotide long non-coding RNA is filed under the name Androctonus crassicauda. The record is from RNAcentral. Lineage: Eukaryota; Metazoa; Arthropoda; Arachnida; Scorpiones; Buthidae.
CCGAUUGGAAAAUAUGCGUUAGAACUAAAUGCUGGAAUAACAGAAAUAUUUGUCUAUUCGGAUGUUUUACAAUUGCAUCAUUUUGGCGUUGCUGUUGCUCCGGUUUUUAGAAUUAUACUGGUAUUAGGAGAAAAGGACGACCAAAUGGUAGAGAGUUACGACAGGCCGUUAUUUUUUCCAGUGAGGAAAAACUAUUAUCGACACGAUUUCUAUGGAAUUACGAUCAGUUACUGGCGAAUCUAUUAUUUUCACUACUGGGAAAACACUUCUCGUUCUCUGAUUUAAACGAUUAUAAAAGUUAAAUAGUUAAUCGAAAUUUUUUAUUUGUAAUCAUGUUGUUAUCACCGGAAGAUUGCAAAGUUCAUUUUUGUCGUCGUCGACUAUAAAUGAGAAGUGGAAUUUACUUCAAAAGUCCAUCGAUUCAGAGAGAUAAUGGCAUAUUUGAUUCCAUCCUUCGUGGUUACUCUCAUAUUAAAAGAAACAGGAAAAUAUUUAGGGGCAGUAAAGCUUUAGAGUGGGAUGCUAAACUCGGAUCUGAUCUGACUAAGCGAAAAUCUCUUAAAGAAGCGGCACUUUCACGACUUAAAGAAACUGGUUCCGAAAUUAAAGAUAACAUUAUUCAAAAAAUUCAAAGCGGGUCGG